AUGGAAGUGAUGAUUUUUUCCCCAGGUGAUCGACGCUGAACAAACUGUGCGAUUUUUCUCUUUUGAGAAACCAAGCCAAAUAAAUCUGAUCCAU
Non-coding RNA from Glycine max (soybean), 94 nucleotides. Lineage: Eukaryota; Viridiplantae; Streptophyta; Magnoliopsida; Fabales; Fabaceae. The record is from Rfam.